UACAGAGGGGGCAAGCGUUAUUCGGAAUUAUUGGGCGUAAAGGGCGCGUAGGCGGCUUGGCAAGUGGAUGGUGAAAUCCCUCGGCUUAACCGAGGAACUGCCGUCCAAACUGCUUCGCUUGAGACCGGGAGAGGUGAGUGGAAUUCCCAGUGUAGCGGUGAAAUGCGUAGAUAUUGGGAGGAACACCAGUGGCGAAGGCGGCUCACUGGACCGGUACUGACGCUGACGCGCGAAAGCGUGGGGAGCAAACAGG
RNAcentral lists this ribosomal RNA (253 nucleotides) under uncultured bacterium. Its description in RNAcentral is "partial 16S ribosomal RNA". It matches the Rfam family "Bacterial small subunit ribosomal RNA", at positions 524 to 776 of the family's 1533-position model. The record is from RNAcentral.